AACGAACGCUGGCGGCAGGCCUAACACAUGCAAGUCGAGCGCGCCUUUCGGGGUGAGCGGCGGACGGGUUAGUAACGCGUGGGAAUAUACCCUUUGGUACGGAAUAGCCUCUGGAAACGGAGAGUAAUACCGUAUGAGCCCUUCGGGGGAAAGAUUUAUCGCCAAAAGGAUUAGCCCGCGUUAGAUUAGGUAGUUGGUGGGGUAAUGGCCUACCAAGCCUACGAUCUAUAGCUGGUUUUAGAGGAUGAUCAGCAACACUGGGACUGAGACACGGCCCAGACUCCUACGGGAGGCAGCAGUGAGGAAUAUUGGACAAUGGGGCAACCCUGAUCCAGCCAUGCCGCGUGAGUGAAGAAGGCCCUAGGGUUGUAAAGCUCUUUCAGAUGUGAAGAUGAUGACCGUAGCAUCAAAAGAGCCCCCG
Molecule: ribosomal RNA, 421 nt
Filed under: uncultured bacterium
Lineage: Bacteria
Description: bacterial SSU rRNA
Rfam family: Bacterial small subunit ribosomal RNA
Source: RNAcentral